Molecule: long non-coding RNA, 465 nt
Organism: Poeciliopsis prolifica (blackstripe livebearer)
Lineage: Eukaryota; Metazoa; Chordata; Actinopteri; Cyprinodontiformes; Poeciliidae
Exons: 4
Source: RefSeq, a predicted model, not a curated record
CUGAAGUGACGUCAUAAGUUUAUAAAAGUCGCGGCCCUUCGUCGUCACAUCCUCUUUCCGUUGCUCUUCUCGCUUUGAGAAAAGUCUCCACACGAUGAGAGCCAAGUGGAGGAAGAAGCGUAUGCGCAGGCUGAAGCGUAAAAGGAGAAAGAUGAGGCAGAGGUCAAAGUAAGCCCUCAUCCCUGCCAGCUGUGAUCCAUCUGAGUUUCUCCAGAUCUACAACCCCAUUCCUCCAAAGAGUGGAUUGCUUGGAGCAUCUACUGAAAUUGUGGCCAAGUCCUGAUUUUUCCAUCAGAGGACGACUUACACCUGGCCAAGCUGUGGAUGCGUAACUGGAGGAAGGCAAAGAUACUGGAAGGAUAUCAGAAGUGCAGCUGCGUUGUUCAUGGACCAUAAUACAACUUGUUUUCCAAACUGUCAUGUGGUGUAUUGAACAAUAAAUGAACACUGUUAAGUUUCCAAACA